CAAGAAACGAGGCCGCGUGCGCUCGCCCGCCCGGCCCCGCUCCUUACCUUGCCUACUGCAACCGUUUGUUGCUUCCUGGCGGCGGACUGCCCGCCGCCAGGGACGUUGAUACAACCCUGUAUAGAAGCAUUGAAGCUCUGAGAAAACGCGAAAUCGUA
This 158-nucleotide unclassified non-coding RNA is filed under the name soil metagenome. RNAcentral's name for it is "partial internal transcribed spacer 1". The record is from RNAcentral.